Molecule: long non-coding RNA, 1523 nt
Filed under: Macaca fascicularis (crab-eating macaque)
Lineage: Eukaryota; Metazoa; Chordata; Mammalia; Primates; Cercopithecidae
Description: lncRNA (ENSMFAG00000062878.1)
Source: RNAcentral
UUUUUCUUUUUUUUUUCUGAGACCGAGUCUUGCUCUGUUGCCCAGGCUUUGCAUGAUCUCGGCUCACUGCAACCUCCACCUCCCGGGUUCAAGCGAUUCUCCUGCCUCAGCCUCCUGAGUAGUUGGGACUACAGGUGCGUGUCACCACACCAGGCUAAUUUUUGUAUUUUUAGUAGAGAUGGGAUUUCACCAUGUUGGCCAUGAUGGUUUCGAUUUCCUGACCUUGUGAUCCACCCACCUUGGCUUCCCAAAGUGCUGGGAUUACAGGUGUGAGCCACUGCACCCGGCCUUUUAGGCAGUUUUCUUACCUGCAUACUCUGAUCACUACUCUGUUAAACAGUCAAGGAGGGUAAGUAUUCUCUUCAGAUUUCCAGAGCUCUGUCUCUGUACAGCCUUCUCCUCCUCAAUAUUCUGCCCUAUGAAUUCUAGCCAUGUUGGCCUUCCCAGAUUCACAGUUCUGUCUUCUCAACUCAGGAAGAUCUCUGAGCUCCAUCUGCAUUCUUCCUUCCUGUGCUGUGGCCUGGAAACUUUUAUAAGGUGAUGGGGAGGUCAGUUGUGGGGAUGGCCUCCUUUGUUUCUCAUCUCUUGAGGAUCAUUGUCCUUUGACUCUUGAUUCCAGUGAUUGAUUCCCUUUGUUGCUUGAGAGCCAUAGUUUUGUAUAUUUUGUCCAGUAUUUUUGUUGUUUUAGGUCAGAAAGUAAUUUUGGUUUCUGUUACUCCAUCUUGGCCAGAAGUGUAAGUCACUUACCUAAGCAUUUAUACAUCAAAAUACUGCACAUACAAUUUUAGUUUAAGCUACUUUUAAAAAAUCUUCAUUUUCCAUUUGGCAUUCUAUUUAGGGCAUUACAUUGAUUUUUUGGAAAUUCUGUUAUUGGCAGUUUCUAUUGCCUAUCACUUCCAUUUAAAGAUAGUGCAUAGGAUAUUCUAAAAUAGUUGUUAAACAAAGAGAAAAUUGGGCCUGAUAGGGUGAGAAUCACAGCUCUACUACCUCAAGUGACCUUAUGAUGUAUUGUACAAAGGAGAUCCUUUUGACAAGAGGGUGUUGUUAGUAAUUAUAUCAGGACCAUGGCCUAAACCAGGGCUAUCUCAGGCAUCCUGGGACAUAGGGUUAAAUGUAGGACAUCUUUUUUUUUCCAGGAUGGGAGAGGUUUAAACAUGUUACUACGUUGAAUAAAUGAAAUAGCCAUGGACAUGGAGAGGCUAAAGAUUCUGAACUAAGUGCAAGUAAUUGAUAGCUCAAGCUCCCAAGGGGCUGGGGCCUGCAGCGCAGAUGGAUGGAUCGACUGUGGGCAGAACUGGGGUGUGGGAGGGGUGUGCAGAUGCAGAUGUGUUUGAGGGUGGGGGGCCAGAAGCUGAGUGGGGUGCAGCGUGACAGUGCAGCUCUGAGCAUGCCGGAGGUGUUCACCAAGCAAAUCAAGAGCAGAUGGCAGAGCGAGCAGCUGAAAUAACAGCUUGUGAAAUCAGCCCUACUUUGUGGGGAGAGGAUUAGUUAAGGAUUCUAGCCAUGGGAACCAAGAAGAGGAG